UUCAGAACAUUCUAGAGAGAGAAAGGGAGGAGAAAUUUAGAGAGAAAUCAAUUUUGACCAAAAUCUAAGCCCUGAAUCGCGAAGCUCAUUAAGAGAAAAGUGUUGUACGUCGCGUUGCCUUCAAUUUGAGCUAAAAAUCAGCCAAGAAGAAGAUUGUUGAAGUGGUUGCUGCAUACUUAAGAUUUUGGAGGAAAUGGGAUUCGAAUUUGGAUAAGCGUAAAGGGCAAGUAAGGUACACCUAGAUGAGUUGAAGUUAUUACAGAAGAUGUUCCAGCGGAGUUGACAAGCUCCAUUUGCUCCCGGAGUGUUGCCGAGUCAGAGUUUAUAUAUGUAUGUUAUGAAUUCUGGAUUUAUCUUAGAGACUUUGCAGACAGAGUCGUGGGUAUUGGUUAUCAGUCUGUAAGCGGCUCCAUCAGCCGAUAUGUCAUUCUGUGUUAUGUAGUAAAUUUUAUAUAACUACGGAUUUUGC
Lycium barbarum (goji berry) is the source of this 469-nucleotide long non-coding RNA. RefSeq lists it as uncharacterized. The transcript has 3 exons. The record is from RefSeq and is a predicted model, not a curated record. NCBI's taxonomy places the organism in Eukaryota, Viridiplantae, Streptophyta, Magnoliopsida, Solanales, Solanaceae.